Molecule: ribosomal RNA, 469 nt
Filed under: uncultured bacterium
Lineage: Bacteria
Description: partial 16S ribosomal RNA
Rfam family: Bacterial small subunit ribosomal RNA
Source: RNAcentral
GACGAACGCUGGCGGCGUGCUUAACACAUGCAAGUCGAACGGAAAGGCCCUGCUUUUGUGGGGUGCUCGAGUGGCGAACGGGUGAGUAACACGUGAGUAACCUGCCCUUGACUUUGGGAUAACUUCAGGAAACUGGGGCUAAUACCGGAUAGGAGCUCCUGCUGCAUGGUGGGGGUUGGAAAGUUUCGGCGGUUGGGGAUGGACUAGCGGCUUAUCAGCUUGUUGGUGGGGUAGUGGCUUACCAAGGCUUUGACGGGUAGCCGGCCUGAGGGGGUGACCGGGCAAAAUGGGGCAUGAUGUACGCCCAGGACCCCACGGGGGGCCGGAGGGGGGAAAAUUGGAAAAAGGGGGGGAGGCUGGUGGCAGAACCGCCCGGGGGGGGAGCAGGCCUUCGGGUUGGAAACCCGUUUCCGCCGGGAACGAAGGGGGGGUGACGGUAAGGGGUAAAGAAGCCCGGGCUAACUACGUC